GAAGGUACCAAUCUGAUUGCAGUAGGGUUCAACUUUGAUUCACAUGGUAAUACUAAUUUUGGCAUUCCAGAUUGAUGUUUGGUUCUUGAUGUAACAUUUUUGGCAUCUUUACUUACUUUCUAAGUGUUUAUGGUUUUGGUCUUUGGCAAUUCGUGUUGAUGUUGGAAUUUUGUUACUUAAGUGUUUAUGGUUUCCAUCUGUGGCAAUUUGCUAUAUGCUUCACAAAAUUUUCAUUUCUUAAUGGCAAUUAAUUGUUUGAGUCUUCACAUUUUCAAAAUUGGUUUUAGUGUAGA
Molecule: long non-coding RNA, 293 nt
Filed under: Olea europaea (common olive)
Lineage: Eukaryota; Viridiplantae; Streptophyta; Magnoliopsida; Lamiales; Oleaceae
Description: long non-coding RNA (OEUR_LNC011875)
Source: RNAcentral